Molecule: signal recognition particle RNA, 281 nt
Filed under: Phascolarctos cinereus (koala)
Lineage: Eukaryota; Metazoa; Chordata; Mammalia; Diprotodontia; Phascolarctidae
Description: Metazoan signal recognition particle RNA (ENSPCIG00000022442.2)
Rfam family: Metazoan signal recognition particle RNA
About the family: The signal recognition particle (SRP) is a universally conserved ribonucleoprotein.
Source: RNAcentral
GCUGUGGUGUUACAUGCUAAACCCUGCUAAUGGGGAUGCUGAGGCUGGUGGGUUUCUUGAGCUUGGGCAUACUGAGCUACAGUAUAAUCAGAUGUCCAAACUAAGCUUGGAAUCAACAUGAUGAGCCUCUAGGAGCAGGGGCUCCCUAGGUUGCCUAAGGAGGGGUGAACCAUCCCAGGUCAGAAAUGGAGCAGGUCAAAUAUCUUAGACCAGUAAGAGUAUAAUGGGCCCUGUGGAUGGCCUUUGUUGCAGCCUGAGUAAGAUAGGUAGACCCAGACUUU